Molecule: ribosomal RNA, 253 nt
Filed under: uncultured bacterium
Lineage: Bacteria
Description: partial 16S ribosomal RNA
Rfam family: Bacterial small subunit ribosomal RNA
Source: RNAcentral
UACGGAGGGCCCAAGCGUUAUCCGGAAUCAUUGGGUUUAAAGGGUCCGUAGGCGGUUUUGUAAGUCAGUGGUGAAAGCCCAUCGCUCAACGGUGGAACGGCCAUUGAUACUGCAAGACUUGAAUUAUUAGGAAGUAACUAGAAUAUGUAGUGUAGCGGUGAAAUGCUUAGAUAUUACAUGGAAUACCAAUUGCGAAGGCAGGUUACUACUAAUAUAUUGACGCUGAUGGACGAAAGCGUGGGGAGCGAACAGG